UACGGGGGGAGCAAGCGUUGUUCGGAUUUACUGGGCGUAAAGGGCGCGUAGGCGGCCAGCACAAGUCAGUUGUGAAAUCUCCGAGCUUAACUCGGAACGGUCAACUGAUACUGUGCGGCUAGAGUGCGGAAGGGGCAACUGGAAUUCCAGGUGUAGCGGUGAAAUGCGUAGAUAUCUGGAGGAACACCGGUGGCGAAGGCGGCAUCCUGGACCGAGAUUGACGCUGAGGCGCGAAAGCCAGGGGAGCAAACGGG
This 254-nucleotide ribosomal RNA is filed under the name uncultured bacterium. RNAcentral describes it as "partial 16S ribosomal RNA". It matches the Rfam family "Bacterial small subunit ribosomal RNA", at positions 524 to 776 of the family's 1533-position model. The record is from RNAcentral.